GCGAUCCCAGGUCAGGCGAGACUACCUGCUGAGUUUAA
This 38-nucleotide ribosomal RNA is filed under the name Moronobea sp. US:Clarke10677. Its description in RNAcentral is "partial 26S ribosomal RNA". Lineage: Eukaryota; Viridiplantae; Streptophyta; Magnoliopsida; Malpighiales; Clusiaceae. The record is from RNAcentral.